Non-coding RNA from Phalacrocorax carbo (great cormorant), 1383 nucleotides. The record is from RefSeq and is a predicted model, not a curated record. Lineage: Eukaryota; Metazoa; Chordata; Aves; Suliformes; Phalacrocoracidae.
CUGGACUUUGUUCUUUCGAGAAACUGCUCUUUCGCCACAGAUGCAGAUACUUUAGUUCAGGCCAAAAAGACAUUUAUCUUCAAGGUAGCACAAAGAAUCCCAAACAACAAAGAAAAUUGACCAAGCAGAAAGAAGUACCAUGGGUUUUCAGAGGCCCCAGCCCCACAGAACCUACCCAUUGCACAAGACUUGAAGGAAGAUUUCUUAUUUCUGCUAACUUCGAUAAUGCAGUGAAAGGGAAUGGACUGAAGCAGCCCAGCUCUAACAAACAUGCCUGGAAAGCACCUUCUACUAUUACACUGGUAACCAUAAAAUAUUCGUAACUUCCUAGAGGAGAUGACAUCAAGUGCCUCUCCAGAACUGCAUCGUGCCAGCAAUCCUUGCUGAUGUCACGUGGAUGUUGCUACCACUCACCACCAUUCAGGAGGGCAUCAGCACCUUUGAGGAGUGGGAUCUUCAUGCAAGUGGGAAGAUGAUGAUUUUCUGUGUAGCACCCCCAUUCCAGACAUAGUGGGAGGGGUGGAGAAGGAAAGCAACAUUACUACUGCGUUCUGCCCUCCUGAUGGUUUAUGCAAAGAGGAAUGGCAUUUUCUUUGCAAAAUCAAAACAGCCAGUCAAUUGCAGGAAGAGUAAUUAAGCUUUAUGCAGCUGCCAACCAUGUUCUCUCUGGACAAACAUUUCAAUUCAGGCAUGUUUUGUAAAUGGACAAUGACAGUUUCGGGGUGGGGGUGGGGUUUCUUCCUUCUUCUAAAACCCAGAAAAUUUCUAUAUAAAGUCAGCUACAGAACUCUGCAACACGCUUCCUAAAGAAUGCUGCCAAUAUCUCAAAUACAGUAAAGGAAAAAAAAAUUAACCUGUUACUUCUCAUUAAUUCAGAUAUGAAGACUUACUAGAAAAGGCUUUAAUUUCAGAUUCAUGAAACACUUUAUGAAAUAAAGGCUUUUCAAAGUUCUUUAGUGUAAUCCCAGUUUGUAAGGAGAAGCUAUAGGAAUGAGCAAAAGGACUGCUGAAUAGGCUAAGAGAAUGGCUAAGGACAUCCUUUGCUCACCGUCCUGACUUGUGAUAAUAUGUCAUUGCUUUAGGAGAAAGAGGACAAAACAAAACAAAUAAUGUCUGGUUGUAUUGUUGAUAUGAUUUUAACCUCAGGAUAAACAUCUGGACAAACUCUCAGCAUCAUUAUUAUUUGUUGCCACGAUUAUCCCAGAACCUGCAGUUCUGGAGCCAGACCACAGCAAUGCUAAACCAUUGUGUGCUGGCAAAAUAAAAAGGCUGUCUCCUUCCCCAACACCCACAAAUAUCUAAACAAAUUAUUAAAACCCCUCAAACAACAACAACAAACAACAGCAUAACACAAAUGAGAAUGAUAUAUCCACUCUUUUCUAU